GUAGCUCAGUGGAAAACGGUGUCUGCUUCUGCUGCUGUGUUUUGCUUGUGGCUUAGAGGGCAGCCUUUGAGCGUAGAGAAUUUCUCUCUGCUACGACCUAGAAGAGACUGGAUAGACCCUGUUUUUGUAACUUAUCCACAUUUGUAUCUUAUGUAAUAUAGUUAUGUGGGGAGGUGGCUUAAGAAAAAGACGUGGGAGGAAGACUCAUUCCCAUUGACAGAACUUGUCAGACUGCACAAUAAGAAACGGGCAAGUUAUUGAUGUUUGUCCAAAAGAGACUUUGUUCCACUUCCUGGGUUCUGGUAUGCAUGAGAUCGCUAUUCCUCUGCGGACGAUCGAAGCCUGGACAAACCUGAACGGAGCUAUUCGAAAGGAAAUCAUUUUUAACCAUCUUUCCAUUCCUCACAACUCGGAGUGCCUUUGUGCUGAGAUCAGGCCCAGAUGAGGCUACUUUAUUUGUUGCUUUCAGAGAAAUUACUCAAGGUCUGAAUUCAGCUGUUCCGGCUCUGCUUCUAACGUGCAAUCGCGCUGGACUGUCCUGGAGUUGGAAAGCGGAUCCGUUUAGCUCCCCUGGUGCUGACCCGUGUGACCAGCCUCACGCUUCCCAA
Non-coding RNA from Struthio camelus australis, 608 nucleotides. The record is from RefSeq and is a predicted model, not a curated record. NCBI's taxonomy places the organism in Eukaryota, Metazoa, Chordata, Aves, Struthioniformes, Struthionidae.